UGGAUGGGCAGCUUUGGACGCUGACCGCCUGGAAGCAGGCACUUCGCUCCUGACCCCUGUAGCUUCUGGGGAGAAAGAACCUGGUCAGGGACCACGGGUGGACAAUCAGCUCUGUCAGGGAGCUCUGCUUGCCUGUGAGCUGGAAGAGAGGACACCAGGGAGCGACGGAAAGAGAAGAAGAGGUGAGAAUAACACUCUGUGGGUUUGGGAGGUGCUGGAGCGUCCACUGCUGCGCGCCGGGACUGCGGGGUGGACACUGGAGGAGAACCCGCCCUCGACCUCCUAAGGCCCGGACAGCUUCUCAUGUGGUCCCUGCCUCUCUGUCUCAGAUCCACGUUUAUCCUGUGUUCCUGAGUCCUGUUUCUAAACUGUUUUCUGCAACUUCUUUCCCGCUCACCACCUGCCACUCCUGGAAGUGGGACUGUGGACUGGAAAGAAAGUCGCCUCGUGAAGAUCCCGAGAAGGACAACUUUGCCCUUCUCUACCCGCCCCUGACCUUCGACCCCUCAGGCCGCAGGGCUUGAGGAGGUACCUCGGAGAGGCCUUCGGCAAGGACAGAAACAAGGACCUGUUUUCUGCAGUGAGCGAGGUGGGGGAGCCGCGGACACCCAAAUUUAGGAAACGUUAGCUCGACUCCUAGAAGGGAAUUGCAAGAGGUCUAGAAACGGCGGCUCGGAAAUGACCAAGAAUAUAAAUAAUACAUAAACCAGGACUUUGGGCGGCGUGAGGUCCGUUGGCACCCACUUCCCAGAGCUUGCGAGAAUGUAUUGAGUCAUCUAGUCUCCAGGUUUGCUCAGAUUUCUAGAGAUGAAUGAAAACAUUCCUCUUCCAUCGGAAGAAAGUCCGGAAUUUCACGUCUUCACGCUGGGGCAAAGUGCUCAGAAGAUGAAAGAGACCUAAACUGGAAUGCAAGUCCCUGGAAGGAAUAGUCCACAGCAUAUGCUCUUCAGCCUCAGGCUGGACAAGUCCUGGAGCUCAAGGAACAGUUGACCAGGAUGCAGUGCUAUG
Molecule: long non-coding RNA, 1008 nt
Organism: Sciurus carolinensis (gray squirrel)
Lineage: Eukaryota; Metazoa; Chordata; Mammalia; Rodentia; Sciuridae
Exons: 3
Source: RefSeq, a predicted model, not a curated record